This 496-nucleotide ribosomal RNA is filed under the name uncultured bacterium. RNAcentral describes it as "partial 16S ribosomal RNA". It matches the Rfam family "Bacterial small subunit ribosomal RNA", at positions 899 to 1397 of the family's 1533-position model. The record is from RNAcentral.
ACUCAAAGGAAUAGACGGGGGCCCGCACAAGCAGUGGAGCAUGUGGUUUAAUUCGAUGCUACGCGAAAAACCUUACCAGGGUUUGACAUCCCGGUGUAAUCCUUUAGAAAUAUUGGACCCCUUCGGGCAUCGGUGACAGGUGGUGCAUGGUUGUCGUCAGCUCGUGCCGUGAGGUGUUGGAUUAAGUUCCGCAACGAGCGCAACCCUCGUUGCUAGUUGCCAUCAUUAAGUUGGGCACUCUAGCGAGACUGCCAGCGUCAAGCUGGAGGAAGGUGGGGAUGACGUCAAAUCAUCAUGCCCCUUACACUCUGGGCUACACACGUGCUACAAUGGCCGGUACAACGGGUUGCCACACCGCGAGGUGGAGCGAAUCCUCAAAGCCGGUCUCAGUUCGGAUUGCAGGCUGCAACUCGCCUGCAUGAAGCUGGAAUUGCUAGUAACCGUGGAUCAGCAUGCCGCGGUGAAUACGUACUCGGGCCUUGUACACACCGCCCGU